GAGACUUUAAAAAAUAGUGAGGUCAUGUUCAUGGGUUCAUUGUCCAUUCAGAAACCUAAUGAUGGAGAGGAAGAGCUGUUCCUGAAAUGUUGAGCCUGUGGUUUCUGGCUCCUGUACCUCCUUGAUGAUAGCAAUGAGUCCUAGGUAAUGGAGUUCCUUAAUGAUGGACGCUGCAUUUUUGAGGCAUCGCCUUUUGAAGUAUUCACUGUGAAUACCUGCAAGAAAACGAAUGUCAGAGUAACAUCUGGUGACAUGAAAGAUUUGGAAGCUUCAGAGAGGCUGCAGAGGAGAUUUACCAGGAUGCUGCCUGAUUAGAAAGC
This is a long non-coding RNA of Hypanus sabinus (Atlantic stingray), 320 nucleotides long. RefSeq lists it as uncharacterized. The record is from RefSeq and is a predicted model, not a curated record. The transcript is spliced from 3 exons. NCBI's taxonomy places the organism in Eukaryota, Metazoa, Chordata, Chondrichthyes, Myliobatiformes, Dasyatidae.